GGGGCCAUAGCUCAGUUGGGAGAGCGCUUGAAUGGCAUUCAAGAGGUCGUCGGUUCGAUUCCGUCUGGCUCCA
This is a transfer RNA of 73 nucleotides. It matches the Rfam family "tRNA". Rfam says of the family: Transfer RNA (tRNA) molecules are approximately 80 nucleotides in length. The record is from Rfam.